CGAGGGGAUAGUGAAGCUCCGACCGCUGUACGCAUCAAGGCGUGGGGUGCCAGGAGCAACACUUCGACCUUAGGUUUGGUUUUUGCCGGGCUUUACAACCAACGGUCCGACGUUGAGAAAGUUGGUCGAGGGGAUAGUGAAGCUCCGACCGCUGUACGCAUCAAGGCGUGGGGUGCCAGGAGCAACACUUCGACCUUAGGUUUGGUUUUUGCCGGGCUUUACAACCAACGGUCCGACGUUGAGAAAGUUGGUCGAGGGGAUAGUGAAGCUCCGACCGCUGUACGCAUCAAGGCGUGGGGUGCCAGGAGCAACACUUCGACCUUAGGUUUGGUUUUUGCCGGGCUUUACAACCAACGGUCCGACGUUGAGGUCCGUAGACCGCGCAAACGUCCCCAUGGAAGGCGUAAAGUUCCAACCGGCGGCUUUUUAGUGGCUAACGGGCAUUUUGGAAAUAAAAGAAAAUAUUUAAAAAGCAAAUAUAAGUUUAAAUUGUAAAUUCAAUUAU
This 505-nucleotide long non-coding RNA is filed under the name Oryza sativa Indica Group (long-grained rice). Its description in RNAcentral is "lncRNA OsIR64_05g0001210". RNAcentral also lists the same sequence under 1 other name. The record is from RNAcentral. Lineage: Eukaryota; Viridiplantae; Streptophyta; Magnoliopsida; Poales; Poaceae.